GCCGGGCACGGUGGCUUGUGCCUGUAAUCCAAGCGCCGGGGAGGCUGAGGCUGGCGGACGGCUUGAGCCCGGGGGUUCUGGGCUGCAGUGAGCUGUGCCGAGCGGGCGUCCGCGCUAAGGUCGGCAUCGAUAUGGUGUCCUCCGGGGAGCUGGGGGGCACCAGGUCGCCUAAGGAGGGGUGAACCGGCCCAGGUCGGAAACGGAGCAGGUCAAAGCUCCUGUGCUGAUCAGUAGCGGGAUCGCGCCUGUGAACAGACCCUGCAGCGCAGCCUGGGCAAGACAGCGGGACCCAGCCUCCU
Molecule: unclassified non-coding RNA, 299 nt
Organism: Anser brachyrhynchus (Pink-footed goose)
Lineage: Eukaryota; Metazoa; Chordata; Aves; Anseriformes; Anatidae
Rfam family: Metazoan signal recognition particle RNA
About the family: The signal recognition particle (SRP) is a universally conserved ribonucleoprotein.
Source: Ensembl